Molecule: ribosomal RNA, 510 nt
Filed under: uncultured bacterium
Lineage: Bacteria
Description: partial 16S ribosomal RNA
Rfam family: Bacterial small subunit ribosomal RNA
Source: RNAcentral
GACGAACGCUGGCGGCGUGCUUAACACAUGCAAGUCGAACGAAGAGCGAUGGAAGCUUGCUUCUAUCAAUCUUAGUGGCGCACGGGUGAGUAACGCGUAAUCAACCUGCCCUUCAGAGGGGGACAACAGUUGGAAACGACUGCUAAUACCGCAUACGAUCUAAUCUCGGCAUCGAGGAUAGAUGAAAGGUGGCCUCUACAUGUAAGCUAUCACUGAAGGAGGGGAUUGCGUCUGAUUAGCUAGUUGGAGGGGUAACGGCCCACCAAGGCGAUGAUCAGUAGCCGGUCUGAGAGGAUGAACGGCCACAUUGGGACUGAGACACGGCCCAGACUCCUACGGGAGGCAGCAGUGGGGAAUCUUCCGCAAUGGACGAAAGGCUGACGGAGCAACGCCGCGUGAGGGAUGACGGCCUUCGGGUUGGAAAGCUCUGUUAAUCGGGACGAAAGGCCUUCUUGCGAAUAGUGAGAAGGAUUGACGGUACCGGAAUAGAAAGCCACGGCUAACUACGUG